RNAcentral lists this ribosomal RNA (484 nucleotides) under uncultured bacterium. RNAcentral's name for it is "partial 16S ribosomal RNA". It matches the Rfam family "Bacterial small subunit ribosomal RNA", at positions 28 to 523 of the family's 1533-position model. The record is from RNAcentral.
GCUGAACGCUGGCGGCGUGCUUAACACAUGCAAGUCGAACGAAAGAAGAUCGGUGCUUGCACUGAUCCGAUCGAGUGGCGGACGGGUGAGUAACGCGUGGGUAACCUGCCUCAUACAGGGGAAUAACAGUUGGAAACGGCUGCUAAAACCGCAUAAGCGCACAGUAUCGAAUGAUACAGUGUGAAAAACUCCGGUGGUAUGAGAUGGACCCGGGUCUGAUUAGCUAGUUGGUGAGGUAGCGGCCCACCAAGGCCACGAUAAGUAGCCGGCCUGAGAGGGUGAACGGCCACAUUGGGACUGAGACACGGCCCAAACUCCUACGGGAGGCAGCAGUGGGGAAUAUUGCACAAUGGGGGAAACCCUGAUGCAGCGACGCCGCGUGAGUGAUGAAGUAUUUCGGUAUGUAAAGCUCUAUCAGCAGGGAAGAUAAUGACGGUACCUGACUAAGAAGCACCGGCUUAAUACGUGCCAGCCGCCGCGGUAA